This 805-nucleotide ribosomal RNA is filed under the name uncultured Gammaproteobacteria bacterium. Its description in RNAcentral is "bacterial SSU rRNA". It matches the Rfam family "Bacterial small subunit ribosomal RNA", at positions 60 to 859 of the family's 1533-position model. The record is from RNAcentral. Lineage: Bacteria; Pseudomonadati; Pseudomonadota; Gammaproteobacteria.
AGUCGAGCGGCAGCGCGGUAGCAAUACUGGCGGCGAGCGGCGGACGGGUGAGUAACGCUUGGGAAUCUGCCUAUUAGUGGGGGACAACCCGGGGAAACUCGGGCUAAUACCGCAUACGCUCUACGGAGGAAAGCCGGGGACCGCAAGGCCUGGCGCUAAUAGAUGAGCCCAAGUCGGAUUAGCUAGUUGGUAGGGUAAUGGCCUACCAAGGCGACAAUCCGUAGCUGGUCUGAGAGGACGACCAGCCACACCGGAACUGAGACACGGUCCGGACUCCUACGGGAGGCAGCAGUGGGGAAUAUUGGACAAUGGGGGAAACCCUGAUCCAGCGACGCCGCGUGGGUGAAGAAGGCCUGCGGGUUGUAAAGCCCUUUCGGUGAGGAAGAAAAGUUGCGACCUAACACGUCGCGACCUUGACGUAACUCAUUAAAGAAGCACCGGCUAACUCUGUGCCAGCAGCCGCGGUAAUACAGAGGGUGCGAGCGUUAAUCGGAAUUACUGGGCGUAAAGCGCGCGUAGGCGGCUUUGCAAGUCGGGUGUGAAAUCCCCAGGCCUAACCUGGGAACUGCACUCGAGACUGCAUGGCUAGAGUAUCGGAGAGGGAAGUGGAAUUUCAGGUGUAGCGGUGAAAUGCGUAGAUAUCUGAAGGAACAUCAGUGGCGAAAGCGACUUCCUGGACGAAUACUGACGCUCAUGUGCGAAAGCGUGGGGAGCAAACAGGAUUAGAUACCCUGGUAGUCCACGCCAUAAACGAUGAGAACUGGAUGUCGGGGAGAGUUUGUCUCUCGGUGUCGUAGCUAACGCG